UACGGGGGGGGCAAGCGUUGUUCGGAAUUACUGGGCGUAAAGGGCUCGUAGGCGGCCAACUAAGUCAGACGUGAAAUCCCCAGGCUUAACCUGGGAACUGCGUCUGAUACUGGAUGGCUUGAAUUCGGGAGAGGGAUGCAGAAUUCCAGGUGUAGCGGUGAAAUGCGUAGAUAUCGCUUGGAACGCCGACGGUGAAAACAGCUCGCUGGGGAUUCGCUGACGCUGAGACACGAAAGCCAGGGGAGCAAACGGG
This 253-nucleotide ribosomal RNA is filed under the name uncultured bacterium. RNAcentral's name for it is "partial 16S ribosomal RNA". It matches the Rfam family "Bacterial small subunit ribosomal RNA", at positions 524 to 776 of the family's 1533-position model. The record is from RNAcentral.